AACAAUUGCAUUUUUGUUAUUAAAGUAGCAUUUUGAGCGGUACCGAAUGCAUAGAAAUAAUUGGUAGUAGUACAUGUCUACUACGAAUUCUAUUAACUAGGGUCAAAUACGUGUCUACGUGCGGUAGUCGAGAACACAACUCAUGUUGCGUCACUCGAAGAAACGACAGAUUGUUCGAUCAGGAAAGCAUGUGCAUCACCGAAUGCAACGAUAUCCGCCGACUGAGAUCUACAGAGAAACGAUCAAUGAUCCGAGGCGCGCAAGGUCAAGAAUUACUAUUUAAAAGAAUUGUUCGUCUUUGACGCGGCGAUGGUCAUUUCUACGAAACUAUAAGCUAUUGACUAUACAUUUCUAGUUCAUAAGGGUUUGAACUUCCGUUUAUGCAGCUAGGAGUCGAAACACGCUAGCUACCGCGUACCGAUAUACAUACAUACAUACAUACAUACAUACAUACAUACAUACAUAUAUAUAAAUCUUUGUCAACAUCGAGUAGAUGUUGCAAUCGCAAUUGUAAAAGAACGUCCACGCGCAUUUCUGUCACAUGCCGUAUUUAUACGGAAUGAACGCGUUUAUGCACGAGACGUUGCUUUCCUCGAUGUAUUUAUUGUUAUAUCGUACUAUAUUUUGCACCGACGUAUCAUCCUGUUACGUUCGCGUCAUAUUCAUACAGCUAACUUUGUACACGCGGUAGUUCUGAACACUAAAAAUAAAGUGGUUUACUUUGUAUCGCUACUAUUGGAACUAAUGAAACGCGCGAAUGCGAUAACUCUUGCAAACACAAAUGGAAGCGUUGUUUGGAUAUUAUAUAUCGUUUACAAUUAAAAAUAGACUUCACGCGAUA
Molecule: non-coding RNA, 841 nt
Organism: Megalopta genalis
Lineage: Eukaryota; Metazoa; Arthropoda; Insecta; Hymenoptera; Halictidae
Source: RefSeq, a predicted model, not a curated record